GUUCGAAUCCUGCACGACCCACCAAUUUAACAUCAAACUCAGAUGUUGAACGUGAAGGAUAACGUUGCGUCAGCAACGGCCCGUAGGGCGAGGCGAAGCCGAGUCAUCCUGCACGACCCACCA
Molecule: small RNA, 123 nt
Filed under: Salmonella enterica subsp. enterica serovar Infantis
Lineage: Bacteria; Pseudomonadati; Pseudomonadota; Gammaproteobacteria; Enterobacterales; Enterobacteriaceae
Also listed under: 86 other names
Description: partial RtT sRNA
Rfam family: RtT RNA
About the family: This family represents a bacterial cis-regulatory element known as RtT RNA. The exact function of RtT is unknown although it is thought that it may be involved in changing the cellular response in relation to amino acid starvation.
Source: RNAcentral